This 527-nucleotide ribosomal RNA is filed under the name uncultured bacterium. RNAcentral describes it as "bacterial SSU rRNA". It matches the Rfam family "Bacterial small subunit ribosomal RNA", at positions 1 to 523 of the family's 1533-position model. The record is from RNAcentral.
GGGAAGAGUUUGAUCCUGGCUCAGAUUGAACGCUGGCGGCAUGCUUUACACAUGCAAGUCGAACGGCAGCACGGGCUUCGGCCUGGUGGCGAGUGGCGAACGGGUGAGUAAUGCAUCGGAACGUGCCCGUGUUGUGGGGGAUAACUACGCGAAAGCGUAGCUAAUACCGCAUAAGCCCUGAGGGGGAAAGCGGGGGAUUCUUCGGAACCUCGUGCGAUUGGAGCGGCCGAUGUCGGAUUAGCUAGUAGGUGAGGUAAAGGCUCACCUAGGCGACGAUCCGUGGCGGGUCUGAGAGGAUGAUCCGCCACACUGGGACUGAGACACGGCCCAGACUCCUACGGGAGGCAGCAGUGGGGAAUUUUGGACAAUGGGCGCAAGCCUGACCCAGCCAUGCCGCGUGAGUGAAGAAGGCCUUCGGGUUGUAAAGCUCUUUCGGCCGGGAAGAAAUCGCAUUCUCUAAUAUAGGAUGUGGAUGACGGUACCGGACUAAGGAGCACCGGCUAACUACGUGCCAGCAGCCGCGGUAA